UGCAAGUCGAACGGUACAGGUCUUCGGAUGCUGACGAGUGGCGAACGGGUGAGUAAUACAUCGGAACGUGCCUAGUAGUGGGGGAUAACUACUCGAAAGAGUAGCUAAUACCGCAUGAGAUCUACGGAUGAAAGCAGGGGACCUUCGGGCCUUGUGCUACUAGAGCGGCUGAUGGCAGAUUAGGUAGUUGGUGGGGUAAAGGCUUACCAAGCCUGCGAUCUGUAGCUGGUCUGAGAGGACGACCAGCCACACUGGGACUGAGACACGGCCCAGACUCCUACGGGAGGCAGCAGUGGGGAAUUUUGGACAAUGGGCGAAAGCCUGAUCCAGCAAUGCCGCGUGCAGGAUGAAGGCCCUCGGGUUGUAAACUGCUUUUGUACGGAACGAAAAGCCUGGGGCUAAUAU
RNAcentral lists this ribosomal RNA (405 nucleotides) under Comamonas sp. SBRD10. Its description in RNAcentral is "bacterial SSU rRNA". It matches the Rfam family "Bacterial small subunit ribosomal RNA", at positions 56 to 466 of the family's 1533-position model. The record is from RNAcentral. Lineage: Bacteria; Pseudomonadati; Pseudomonadota; Betaproteobacteria; Burkholderiales; Comamonadaceae.